CUACAAGUCAUCAAGCUGACCCCCUCUCAUCCCUUGGCCUGAAGAAGAGGGUGUCUCAGGGCCCAGGGAUAAGCGGGAAUGGACCGGAGGGAGCCACAAGUCUGCACCCAGGCGGGGAGGAGGCGGGCAGGAGCGGCUCCGCAGGCGCAGGCGAGUGGGUGGGAAGGAGGGAGGGAGAGAGGGGAGAGGGAGGAAGGAGGUGAGGCCGGGAAGAUGCCUCUGCCGGGGGCGGGGCGGGGCCGGGGAUCCGGGAGAGGGACUGCAGCGGUGCUUGGUGGGGGCGGGGGCUGCAAUGUCACUCAUGUGGGAGUCAGGUGUGUAAGUCCCAGGCUCGGGCCGCCGCUUGCCUACAUCUUCCCGGUACUACCCAGGGCUCAGGGGUGGAGGCGGACGGCAGGGGACUGCAGAACCGUCCCCAGAGCGGGACGCGAACCGGCAGACUUGGAAGAAGAGCCUCCGCGUCCGGGAGCUGAGCAUGCUGCCCCCGCGUGCAGAGCCCGCGUGCACCCAGCCCGGAGAGGGGGCGACAGGGCGGAGGCGGUGGCCCCCGGAAGGUGUCUGGGACCGGACCGGCUGCACGUGAGCCCAGCGCAGGGUCAUGUGCACCGGCUCAGCCCGGUUCGGCGCCCGGACGUGCUGCGUAUCAACAAAAUAAACUCGGGGAGACAGGAGGGCAGAUAGCCCCGGGUCCUCCGAACCCACGUCCCCGGCCGCGCGACCUCCUCUCCGCACAGGUCUCCCGCCGCAGCCCCUCCGCCCUGCCAGAGCCCGCGGGGCAAGUUGCAGCCCCGGCGCGCCCCCGCCCGCCCGCGCCCCCUCCCCGGUCCGGGGGCGCUUUGCCGCAGUCAUUAAUAAAGAAGGUCGCCAAGCUCACCCUUCCAAAAGUUGUUGUUGCAUGCGCCCCUCUCAGCCUCCCCGCAAUGUACUCUUUAAAACACGACUGACCAACAUGCGCAAUCUCUCUCCCCUGUGCUGUGCAUCGGCACCCCCCCCCCCGCGCGCUGGCUUCCUAGAACAAGCAGCCAGCAGGAGAGAGAGGGAGCGAGCGAGCAAGAGAGAGAGAGAGAGAGAGAGCGCGAGGGAGCGAGGAGCGCUGGAGAUCUGUUGCAAAAACACAAAAUAACGCCGUGGAGAUGCGCAGGGCCAGUCGCCGGGGGCUGGAUCUUACCUUGCUCCGCGGUGCCCUUCCGAGGGCCGCUACCCCCGGCUACGCGCCGCGGCUGGGGCCGGCGUGGGAAGGAUGCUCCUGAAACCCGGAGCUCCUGGGGCCGGCGCGGGCGGGCGGGGGGCGCGCAUCCAUCCGGGGUCGUGGCGAGGGAGGCGGCCGGGCCCGUGGGGUCCCCGGCACCGCACCCGGCCGGGGACUGUCAGCCCGCCAGACCUAAGCCCUUGCCGCUAGGAGUGGGUGCAAAGUAACUCCAUGGACGCUUCUAACCCCCCCCCAAUAGCCUCCAACUGCGAUGGCCGCGGUCGGCACCAUUCACCAACCCCCCUGUGUAUGUUUCUGUUUCUUUUUAAACCAAGACUUCCUUGUGAUCUCUUUAGAAAAAAAAAAAAUGUGUUGGGGUGGGGGUGGGGUGGGGGCGGGCGGGAGGAGCGAGGGAGGGGGAGUAGCCACUUUUUUCUUAUUCACUCGGAUUUCCACUCCUGACACCCCCCGCCUCGCCCCUCCACCCCCCCGCCCAGUUGUUUGGCUUCAGCUGCGCGUUCAGGUAGCGUUGCAGGCCUCCGGGGGGAGGGUACCCUGCCGGACCGCCCUCUUGCCUGCACCUCGGGCCUGGACUCCCCACGGGCGCUGGGGCGCCCCCAGCCCGCCCUGUCCCCAGGGCCGGGCCCAAGCGGCGGCUGCGCCCGUGCAAGUCCCAUCAGGUCUGCUCACACUUCACACACUCACACACAUACCCCGCCCCUCCACUCUCUCACUCACACUUUCUGCUCACACCCCGCCCCCUUCGCGCCCCAGACCCGGGCGGCGCCCCCCGCAACCUUAAAAAAAAAAAAAAAAAGCAAGCUUAUACUUAAAAAAAUCUUUUGGCGCCAUAUUAAUGACGUACUUAAAAUUUGCCAUUUCUCCCUGCGUCAAAAAGACGUUUCUUUGCAAAUAACAGCCUGAAGGCGACACUCGCGGAGGGAACGAGGUUUGCACUGAGCACCCCGCCUCCCGGGGUUCCAGCGCUGGAAGACCCUCGCUCUAGGCCCUGAUCCUGAAUCGCUGGUUUUAAAAUGCGAAACGAAUAAAUCGCGUGGCGUUUCGCAGCGCCAGAAGUGAGCAGAAAGUGCUGGCAGGAGCGGAGGGGAGGGGCGCGCGCGAGUCUGGGGGAGGGGGCGCGGCUCUCCUCCCCCACCCACAGCAGAUGGAAACUAACAUGCCGGGCGGGGGAAACUUGAAAUUGUGGGCGACCUCAAGAAGGAGGGGCGGUCCGUAGAGAGGGUCCCUCUCGGGUUCGUCGCCCCCUCCCCCCGCCCGAGUGCCUCCUGGCGCCCAGCUCUGCCCCGCAUUUCCGGGGGGUAGGGAACGCAGUGAUGGGUGGGUGGGUGGCUGCACGUCCUGGGCCCGGUAGGAGUUUGCCCCGGGGUGGCCACCUCCCCCUUGCUCGUCCUUCCCAGUCCCCCUAAAGGGUUAAAAACCAAGGGGCAACUUCCAAGGAUUGGCACUUGGCGAGGAAGCGGGGCGCCCCUCUCCCCACCCUUCGCCUCCUCGCCCCUCCUCCUCCGGCUCCACUUCCCGACUUGACCUUGUGGUGCACAAACAGUGCGCUGGGAUCCUCGCAGUUUCUGGAAGAAGAGCUUGCGCUCGCCAGGCAGGCGGGCUGUCGGGCGGCUCUCGAGCGGUGGCGGGGCCUUGGGUCCGUUCCCGGAGCCGCGGGCCACACCCACCCAACCCGCUGCGCCCGCCGUGCUCACCUUCUCUCGAGGAAGGAGCAGGGCUGGCCUUCUGGAUGGGGAGAAGUGGGGGGCAAGCUGCAGCCUUCUCAGAUGCUCCCAGCUAGGGAGGGGGUGGUCUGGUCUCAGGCGGGGUGU
This 3021-nucleotide long non-coding RNA is filed under the name Delphinapterus leucas (beluga whale). RNAcentral describes it as "lncRNA (ENSDLEG00000004145.1)". The record is from RNAcentral. Lineage: Eukaryota; Metazoa; Chordata; Mammalia; Artiodactyla; Monodontidae.